GGCAAUCUCACCCUACUGUAUUGGAAUCACAUGUGGAGGUAAACACCAAACUGACCAUAGAUCAGCAUGUGGAGGCAAUCUCACCCUACUGUAUUGGAAUCACAUGUGGAGGUAAACACCAAACUGACCAUAGAUCAGCAUGUGGAGGCAAUCUCACCCUACUGUAUUGGAAUCACAUGUGGAGGUAAACACCAAACUGACCAUAGAUCAGCAUGUGGAGGCAAUCUCACCCUACUGUAUUGGAAUCACAUGUGGAGGUAAACACCAAACUGACCAUAGAUCAGCAUGUGGAGGCAAUCUCACCCUACUGUAUUGGAAUCACAUGUGGUUUUAUCUCCAUAGAACACAGGUAGAUUCUUCUGGUAUGCAGUUAAUCAUUUAAACAUGUUUGGCUUCCCAUAAUGCCAAUAUCUAUAAUACUCUCUCUCUCUCUCUCUGUAUGUGUGUGUGUGUGUAUAUAUCUCUCUCUCACACGUACUCUCGCUCACACACACACACACACACACACACACACACACCAAAUAUACAGAAUAUUCAAGCAUAACAGAGAGAGAAAGUCAUGUGGAAUGUGGUAUGGCUCAGACAAAGGAAAACAUGCUACAGAGGUGGAGCUACUGUAAUACAAUGUGGUCUGAGAAGAAGAAAGUAUUUGGCUUGCAGACAAGUGUCUGAGCUUGAUAUGAUUCUGGCCUGCCUGGAGGAAUUUUUUAAAAUAUCAAAACAAACUUACUGGGGACAGAGCACAUAUUUUUGGCUCAGUAUUCCAGUACAGCCUGUUUCUCAGCUUGUAAACUACCCCUUA
Oncorhynchus keta (chum salmon) is the source of this 802-nucleotide long non-coding RNA. RefSeq lists it as uncharacterized. The record is from RefSeq and is a predicted model, not a curated record. The transcript has 3 exons. NCBI's taxonomy places the organism in Eukaryota, Metazoa, Chordata, Actinopteri, Salmoniformes, Salmonidae.